UGAAUUUAAGCAUAUCACUAAGCGGAGGAAAAGAAACUAACCAGGAUUCCCUCAGUAACGGCGAGUGAACAGGGAUUAGCCCAGCACCGAAGCCCGUGUCCAUUUGGAUGCAGGGCAAUGUGGUGUGUAGGUGGGUGCGUUUGUGUGCUGCUCCUUCCCAAGUCCAAGCUUGAAUAUGGCCCUUGAUGAGGCCCAGAGAGGGUGAAAGGCCCGUGGGGAUGGAGUGGUGCGUGAGUGCGCCUGCCGUGGAGUCGGGUUGUUUGUGAAUGCAGCCCAAAGUUGGUGGUAAACUCCAUCUAAGGCUAAAUACUGGCACGAGUCCGAUAGCGAACAAGUACCGUGAGGGAAAGU
RNAcentral lists this ribosomal RNA (351 nucleotides) under Hexabothrium appendiculatum. RNAcentral describes it as "eukaryotic LSU rRNA". It matches the Rfam family "Eukaryotic large subunit ribosomal RNA", at positions 29 to 364 of the family's 3401-position model. The record is from RNAcentral. Lineage: Eukaryota; Metazoa; Platyhelminthes; Monogenea; Diclybothriidea; Hexabothriidae.